This is a small nuclear RNA of Teleopsis dalmanni, 123 nucleotides long. RefSeq annotates it as U5 spliceosomal RNA. The record is from RefSeq and is a predicted model, not a curated record. Lineage: Eukaryota; Metazoa; Arthropoda; Insecta; Diptera; Diopsidae. The transcript has a single exon.
UGACUCUAACUCUUCCUCAAUUGUCGAAUGAAUCUUUCGCCUUUUACUAAAGAUUUCCGUGGGGAUAGAGUAAUGUUGAGUACAUAGUAAUUUUUUUGUUAUGCCUAGCUCAAAAAGCCGGGC